UGCGGUAGGGGAGACUGGAAUUCCCGGUGUAACGGUGGAAUGUGUAGAUAUCGGGAAGAACACCAAUGGCGAAGGCAGGUCUCUGGGCCGUUACUGACGCUGAGGAGCGAAAGCGUGGGGAGCGAACAGGAUUAGAUACCCUGGUAGUCCACGCCGUAAACGGUGGAUGCUGGAUGUGGGGCCCGUUCCACGGGUUCCGUGUCGGAGCUAACGCGUUAAGCAUCCCGCCUGGGGAGUACGGCCGCAAGGCUAAAACUCAAAGAAAUUGACGGGGGCCCGCACAAGCGGCGGAGCAUGCGGAUUAAUUCGAUGCAACGCGAAGAACCUUACCUGGGCUUGACAUGUUCCCGACGGUCGUAGAGAUACGGCUUCCCUUCGGGGCGGGUUCACAGGUGGUGCAUGGUCGUCGUCAGCUCGUGUCGUGAGAUGUUGGGUUAAGUCCCGCAACGAGCGCAACCCUCGCCCCGUGUUGCCAGCGGAUUAUGCCGGGAACUCACGGGGGACCGCCGGGGUUAACUCGGAGGAAGGUGGGGAUGACGUCAGAUCAUCAUGCCCCUUACGUCCAGGGCUUCACGCAUGCUACAAUGGCCGGUACAACGGGAUGCGACGCGGCGACGCGGAGCGGAUCCCUGAAAACCGGUCUCAGUUCGGAUCGCAGUCUGCAACUCGACUGCGUGAAGGCGGAGUCGCUAGUAAUCGCGAAUCAGCAACGUCGCGGUGAAUGCGUUCCCGGGCCUUGUACACACCGCCCGUCAAGUCAUGAAAGUGGGCAGCACCCGAAGCCGGUGGCCUAACCCCUUGUGGGAUGGAGCCGUCUAAGGUGAGGCUCGUGAUUGGGACUAAGUCGUAACAAGGUAGCCGUACCGGAAGGUGCGGCUG
This 879-nucleotide ribosomal RNA is filed under the name human gut metagenome. RNAcentral's name for it is "bacterial SSU rRNA". It matches the Rfam family "Bacterial small subunit ribosomal RNA", at positions 647 to 1520 of the family's 1533-position model. The record is from RNAcentral.